GCCGGAAUAGCUCAGUGGUAGAGCGUGUCACUCGUACUUUCCUUCUGCGAAAUGACAAGGUCCACGGUUCAAUCCCGUGUUUCGGCA
Non-coding RNA from Parathielavia hyrcaniae, 87 nucleotides. The record is from the annotation of a GenBank genome assembly. NCBI's taxonomy places the organism in Eukaryota, Fungi, Ascomycota, Sordariomycetes, Sordariales, Chaetomiaceae.